Molecule: long non-coding RNA, 902 nt
Organism: Oncorhynchus tshawytscha (Chinook salmon)
Lineage: Eukaryota; Metazoa; Chordata; Actinopteri; Salmoniformes; Salmonidae
Source: Ensembl
GCGUGAUGUGAAAUAGUUUUAGAUGUGGUCUCUUUGAGAGCGUAUUCCCCACAAGAUAGACCCAGUAGACAAAUUAGAUUUUUAUCCCAUUGACAAUCCAUCUGACGAAUAAGGAUAUAUAUUCAUUGAAGGUACACAUAGUUUUGUGAGAGAGUUUAUUAACAGGAAGAAUCAUCUAAGUGUUAUUGUAUAACAUGCAUGGACCAAAAGACAUAGCACUGUCCAUGAUGGAAUGACACAUUUCACUGGUCCACGAUUGUAUUAUUUUUUUUAAUAAACUAUAUAUUAUCAUAGCGUUCGUUUUAUAAAUACAAUAUAUUACUCCUCUGAAUGUCAGGGUAUAUUGGACAGAUUCAUAUUUGAGAAUGUAUUGAGUGAAAUGUCCAGGUGGUGUUGCAACAGAACAACAUGACAUCGUUGUUGAACUAGACGCCCUCUGUAGACGACUUUGACCCCUGUGUUGACCCCUGUGUUGACCCCUGUGUUGACCCCUGUGUUGGAUUUUGAUUGAACAAAGGGUAUGUUUACUCCAACAACAACGUCAUGUCAUUUUCAGGGACUUUUAUUGAUAAAAGGGACGAUGGAUUGUAUUUCGCAUUAAAAGUGCUUUCUGAAGGAGGCUACAGGCCCUGGUCUAAAGUAGUGUACUAUAUAGGCUACAGGCCCUGGUCUAAAGUAGUGUACUAUAUAGGCUACAGGCCCUGGUCUAAAGUAGUGUACUAUAUAGGCUACAGGCCGUGGUCUAAAGUAGUGUACUAUAUAGGAAAUAGGGCCCUGGUCUAAUGUAGUGUACUAUAUAGGCUACAGGCCCUGGUCUAAAGUAGUGUACUAUAUAGGGAAUAGGGCCCUGGUCUAAAGUAGUGUACUAUAUAGGCUACAGGCCCUACUCUAAAGUAGUGUAC